AUGUCGGCAGCCAAGGAGAACCCGUGCAGGAAAUUCCAGGCCAACAUCUUCAACAAGAGCAAGUGUCAGAACUGCUUCAAGCCCCGCGAGUCGCAUCUGCUUAACGACGAGGACCUGACGCAGGCAAAGCCCAUUUAUGGUGGUUGGCUGCUCCUGGCUCCAAAUGGGACUGACUUUGACAACCCGGUGCACCGGUCUCGGAAAUGGCAGCGACGGUUCUUCAUCCUUUAGGAGCAUGGCCUCUUGCUAUAUGCCCUGGAUGAGAUGCCAACGACUCUGCCUCAGGGCACCAUCAACAUGAACCAGUGCACAGACGUGGUGGAUGGGGAGGGCCGCACGGGCCAGAAGUUCUCCCUGUGUAUUCUGACGCCUGAGAAGGAGCAUUUCAUCCGGGCAGAGACCAAGGAGAUUGUCAGUGGGUGGCUGGAGAUGCUCAUGGUCUAUCCCCGGACCAACAAGCAGAACCAGAAGAAGAAAGGGAAAGUGGAGCCCCCCACACCACAGGAGCCUGGGCCUGCCAAGGUGGCUGUCACCAGCAGCAGCAGCAGCAACAGCAGCAGCAGCAGCAUCCCCAGUGCUGAGAAAGUCCCCACCACCAAGUCCACACUCUGGCAGGAAGAAAUGAGGGCUAAGGACCAGCCAGAUGGCAGCAGCCUGAGUCCAGCUCAGAGUCCCAGCCAGAGCCAGCCUACUGCUGCCAGCUCCCUGCGGGAACCUGGGCUGGAGAGCAAAGAAGAGGAGAGCGCCAUGAGUAGCGACCGCAUGGACUGUGGCUGCAAAGUCCGGGUGGAGAGCGGCUACUUCUUCCUGGAGAAGACCAAACAGGACUUGAAGGCCGAGGAGCAGCAGCUGCCCCCGCCACUCUCCCCUCCCAGCCCCAGCACCCCCAACCACAGGAGGUCCCAGGUGAUUGAAAAGUUUGAGGCCUUGGACAUUGAGAAGGCAGAGCACAUGGAGACCAAUGCAGUGGGGCCCUCGCCAUCCAGCGACACACGCCAGGGCCGCAGCGAGAAGAGGGCGUUCCCUAGGAAGCGGCCCGACCUGCUGAAUUUCAAGAAAGGCUGGCUGACUAAGCAGUAUGAGGACGGCCAGUGGAAGAAACACUGGUUUGUCCUGGCCGAUCAAAGCCUGAGAUACUACAGGGAUUCGGUGGCUGAGGAGGCAGCCGACUUGGAUGGGGAAAUUGACUUGUCUACAUGUUAGGAUGUCACAGAGUAUCCAGUUCAGAGAAACUAUGGCUUCCAGAUCCAUACAAAGGAGGGCGAGUUUACCCUGUCGGCCAUGACCUCCGGGAUUCGGAGGAACUGGGUCCAGACCAUCAUGAAACAGGUGCACCCGACCACUGCCCCGGAUGUGACAAGCUCAUUGCCAGAGGAAAAAAACAAGAGCAGCUCCUCUUUUGAGACAUGCCCGAGGCCUACUGAGAAGCAAGAGGCAGAGCUGGGGGAGCCGGACCCUGAGCAGAAGAGGAGCCGCGCACGGGAGCGGAGGCGAGAGGGCCGCUCCAAGACCUUUGACUGGGCUGAGUUCCGUCCCAUCCAGCAGGCCCUGGCUCAGGAGCGGGUGGGUGGCGCAGGGCCCACUGACACCCAUGAGCCCUUGCGCCCUGAGGCAGAGCCUGGGGAGCUGGAGUGGGAGCGUGCACGGAGGCAGGAGGAGCGCGGCAAGCGCUUCGGGAUGCCCCACGCCACAGACGGGCCAGGCACUGAGGAUGCAGCCCUGCGCACGGAGGUGGACCAGAGCCCAGGGCUGCCUGUGAGUGACCUCAAGACGCAUAACGUCCAUGUGGAGAUCGAGCAGCAGUGGCAUCAGGUGGAGACCACGCCUCUCCGGGAAGAGAAGCAGGUGCCCAUCGCUCCUGUCCACCUGUCUUCUGAAGAUAGGGGUGACCGGCUCUCCACACACGAGCUGACCUCUCUGCUGGAGAAGGAGCUGGAGCAGAGCCAGAAGGAGGCCUCAGACCUUCUGGAGCAGAACCGGCUCCUGCAGGACCAGCUGAGGGUGGCCCUGGGCCGGGAGCAGAGCGCCCGUUAGGGCUAUGUGCUGCAGGCCACCUGCGAGCGAGGGUUUGCAGCAAUGGAAGAAACGCACCAGAAGAAGAUUGAAGAUCUGCAGAGGCAGCACCAGCGGGAGCUAGAGAAACUUCGGGAGGAGAAAGACCGCCUCCUGGCCGAGGAGACAGCGGCCACCAUCUCAGCCAUCGAAACCAUGAAGAAUGCCCACCGGGAGGAGAUGGAGCGGGAGCUGGAGAAGAGCCAGCGGUCCCAGAUCAGCAGUGUCAACUCGGACGUUGAGGCCCUGCCCGGCGCCAGUACCUGGAGGAGCUGCAGUCGGUGCAGCGGGAACUGGAGGUCCUCUCGAAGCAGUACUCCCAGAAGUGCCUGGAGAAUGCCCACCUGGCCCAGGCGCUGGAGGCCGAGCGGCAGGCCCUGCGGCAGUGCCAGCGUGAGAACCAGGAGCUCAAUGCCCACAACCAGGAGCUGAACAACCGCCUGGCUGCAGAGAUCACACGGUUACGGACGCUGCUGACUGGGGACGGCAGUGGGGAGGCCACUAGGUCACCCCUUGCACAGGGCAAGGAUGCCUAUGAACUAGAGGUCUUAUUGUGGGUAAAGGAAUCAGAAAUACAGUACCUGAAACAGGAAAUUAGCUCCCUCAAGGAUGAGCUGCAGACGGCACUGCAGGAAGUAUGCAAGUGACAAGUACAAAGACAUCUACACAGAGCUCAGCAUCGCGAAGGCUAAAGCUGACUGUGACAUCAGCAGGUUGAAGGAGCAGCUCAAGGCUGCAACAGAAGCGCUGGGGGAAAAGUCCCCUGACAGUGCCACGGUGUCCAGAUACGAUAUAAUGAAAUCUAAAAGCAACCCUGACUUCUUGAAGAAAGACAGAUCCUGUGUCACCCGGCAACUCAGAAACAUCAGGUCCAAGAGUCUGAAGGAAGGCCUGACGGUGCAAGAACGGUUGAAGCUCUUUGAAUCCAGGGACUUGAAGAAAGACUAGCUGUGUCCCAUCCAAGUUGAGCACGCACCUUCCCCAGCUUGCAGCAGCACACCCCAAGCGCUGCUUUUCACCUGUACCUUUGUUUUAUUAUUAUUAUUGCUGCUGUUGUCAUCGUUAACUGUGGGCAUGGAACGUGUGAGGCUGGCUUCUGGGUUGUCCACACCACUCUCUGCUGUGUUGACUUCCUAUUGUCUUCAUCAAAGCUCUUUUCCGUGGUAUUCUAAAAUUAGGCCAGCAGUGGGGACUGGGAGGGCAUCUGUGUUAGUCCCUUCCUGGCUGUGACCCGCUGCACUCACUGUCAGUAUUAAGGCCCAGCAGCCUGUUGAUAAGCUACCCUGUCUCACCACGCGCUGGUGUGGAAACAGGGCCCAGCCAGCAUGCCUCAAGGUAGAUGGAAUCCCCACUGGUCAGAGAAAAAGCCAUGCGGACACUCCAGCUUUUGGCCUGGGUAAUAGCACUGACUCCUCACCUGCUAGUCUGGCUGUUAAGAGGAGAAGGUGCGCUGCCUUCCGGCCUGGGAGGAAGACAGCAUUUUGUAUCUGUUCCACUGAUGCCGCUUAAAACCACACCCCUGAGAAUCGUGGCAAACCUUUCACAACCUGGAAAAUGUUCAAAGCAACCAUUCCUAUUUUUGUUUGUUUUUUAUUAAAUAUUGCACUAAAAAAAAAAAAAAAAAAA
Molecule: RNA transcript, 3678 nt
Organism: Piliocolobus tephrosceles (Ugandan red Colobus)
Lineage: Eukaryota; Metazoa; Chordata; Mammalia; Primates; Cercopithecidae
Gene name: myosin phosphatase Rho-interacting protein pseudogene
Exons: 1
Source: RefSeq, a predicted model, not a curated record